AUUUUCAUGUGUUGUAUGUUUUUUGGGCAUGGCCGUGCCUCUGUUUUGAGUUUUGGUUUUCAAUUUUCGUUAUGUGUUUUUAUUUUCUGAUCCUUACUUUUUCUGUUUGUAUUCUAUGUUUUCAUUUGUUUACAUUCUUAUGAGCAUAGCUGCAAACAGACUGGAGCAGGCCAGACUGUGUGUGUUACAGGAGCAGCAGGAGGAUUUGUUUUCAUGGCUUGCGAAGCUAUUGGAACAGUUCGCAUUCCAGGAAGAAAAAAAUAAGUACUGGUAACGAUAAAGAGGAAGAGAAGAAAUAAGCGCUGACAAUGAUAAGGAGGAGGAGAAUUACACAUCACAAUUAUCAGGAAUUACACCAGGUUCACAGUGACCUCUAUGUCUACAUCAGAAUCAGCAUCAAACUCCACAAUCUAUUUCACUUUUGUUGUCGAUUUAGUCUGAGGCUUGCUUGAGGCUUGCUUGAGGCACAAGUAAGUCUUGUACAAUAACCCAUGGUGCUCUUUAACAGCAUCAUCUUCUUCCUUCCUUCGACUUCCAGUAGGUGAACAGGUCAAGUACUUCCAGUAGGUGAACAGGUCAGGUCGUGCAAGUAAUGCAGAUCAAAUUUCACACAAAAAAAGAUUGCAAAAUGGAAGAUCAUGCCACUAGACAAGAUCACUGUUGUGAUUUUGUUUUUAAACUCUUAUCUUUUCAUAAUCCAGUUCCAGAAUUCAAUUUUCAAAGUUGUGCCAGCAUGUCAUCAAUUGCAAUUCACGUUUCAAGGUACACAGUCAUAAUCCUAUUAUAUUUCAACACAUGUUCAACUGCAAUCCAGUUAGCAUACAUUAGUCAAUUUAUCAGAUGCAUCUCCUCUACCUAAAGUGAUAACUGUGUUUAAUAAACUUAUUCCUUUAGAUUUAGAUCCUUAAUUUUUAUCAUUAUUUUUCAGUUUUUCUCUUUCUGUUUCACUCUUUCUGUUUCACUGAGGGUUAUGUCCUUAGCUGAAUGUUA
Long non-coding RNA from Cryptomeria japonica (Japanese cedar), 990 nucleotides. RefSeq lists it as uncharacterized. Lineage: Eukaryota; Viridiplantae; Streptophyta; Pinopsida; Cupressales; Cupressaceae. The transcript is spliced from 3 exons. The record is from RefSeq and is a predicted model, not a curated record.